Molecule: long non-coding RNA, 261 nt
Organism: Hippocampus zosterae (dwarf seahorse)
Lineage: Eukaryota; Metazoa; Chordata; Actinopteri; Syngnathiformes; Syngnathidae
Exons: 2
Source: RefSeq, a predicted model, not a curated record
GAGCCCUCCGCCAGGCAACUUGUUGACGUUUUUUUACCUUUCAACGUUUUUACGUGGUGUUUUUAGAUCAUAAUUGUCACAUUUUUAACAUGAUCGUUUUCACGUUUUACAUAAUAAAUAUCACGUUUUUAACUUGAUAAUUUCAUAAUUCAAACAUUUUAUUACCAAAGCAACGAACAAGCAUAAUAAAUUAAAAUGGACAUAUUUGUACAAUUCCAAUAGAAAAAUACACAAUUCUAAUCUCAGGUGCACAAAUUCUCA